RNAcentral lists this ribosomal RNA (392 nucleotides) under Lysinibacillus sphaericus OT4b.31. Its description in RNAcentral is "bacterial SSU rRNA". It matches the Rfam family "Bacterial small subunit ribosomal RNA", at positions 1 to 379 of the family's 1533-position model. The record is from RNAcentral. Lineage: Bacteria; Bacillati; Bacillota; Bacilli; Caryophanales; Bacillaceae.
UUUUAUGGAGAGUUUGAUCCUGGCUCAGGACGAACGCUGGCGGCGUGCCUAAUACAUGCAAGUCGAGCGAAUGAUGAGGAAGCUUGCUUCCUCUGAUUUAGCGGCGGACGGGUGAGUAACACGUGGGCAACCUACCUUAUAGUUUGGGAUAACUCCGGGAAACCGGGGCUAAUACCAAAUAAUCUCUUUUACUUCAUGGUGAAAGACUGAAAGACGGCAUCUAGCUGUCGCUAUAGGAUGGGCCCGCGGCGCAUUAGCUAGUUGGUGAGGUAACGGCUCACCAAGGCGACGAUGCGUAGCCGACCUGAGAGGGUGAUCGGCCACACUGGGACUGAGACACGGCCCAGACUCCUACGGGAGGCAGCAGUAGGGAAUCUUCCACAAUGGGCGAA